RNAcentral lists this ribosomal RNA (438 nucleotides) under uncultured bacterium. Its description in RNAcentral is "bacterial SSU rRNA". It matches the Rfam family "Bacterial small subunit ribosomal RNA", at positions 28 to 452 of the family's 1533-position model. The record is from RNAcentral.
GAUGAACGCUAGCUACAGGCUUAACACAUGCAAGUCGAGGGGAAACGAUAUUGGAAGCUUGCUUCUGAUAGGCGUCGACCGGCGCACGGGUGAGUAACGCGUAUCCAACCUGCCCAUCACUUGGGGAUAACCUUGUGAAAGUAAGACUAAUACCCAAUGACGUCUCUAGAAGACAUCUGAAAGAGAUUAAAGAUUUAUCGGUGAUGGAUGGGGAUGCGUCUGAUUAGCUUGUUGGCGGGUAACGGCCCACCAAGGCGACGAUCAGUAGGGGUUCUGAGAGGAAGGUCCCCCACAUUGGAACUGAGACACGGCCCAAACUCCUACGGGAGGCAGCAGUGGGGGAAUAUUGCACAAAUGGGGGGAAACCCUGAUGCAGCGACGCCGCGUGGAGGAAGAAGGUCUUCGGAUUGUAAACUCCCUGUUGUUGAGGAAGAUAAU